CUACGGGCCGCUGCAGUGAGGAAUUUUGCGCAAUGGGGGCAACCCUGACGCAGCAACGCCGCGUGAGUGAAGAAGGCCCUUGGGUCGUAAAGCUCUGUCAAUGGGGAAGAAGUUACUUGGUAUUAAUAGUGCCUUGUAUUGACGGUACCCAUGAAGGAAGCACCGGCUAGCUCCGUGCCAGCAGCCGCGGUAAUACGGGGGGUGCAAGCGUUAUUCGGAAUUAUUGGGCGUAAAGGGCACGCAGGCGGUCCUGUCAGUCAGAUGUGAAAGCCCAGGGCUCAACCCUGGACGUGCAUUUGAAACAGCAGGACUUGAGUACGGGAGAGGAAAGGGGAAUUCCUGGUGUAGAGGUGAAAUUCGUAGAUAUCAGGAGGAACACCGGUGGCGAAGGCGCCUUUCUGGACCGAUACUGACGCUGAGGUGCGAAGGCGUGGGUAGCGAACGGGAUUAGAUACCCCAGUAGUC
This 465-nucleotide ribosomal RNA is filed under the name uncultured bacterium. RNAcentral describes it as "partial 16S ribosomal RNA". It matches the Rfam family "Bacterial small subunit ribosomal RNA", at positions 339 to 795 of the family's 1533-position model. The record is from RNAcentral.